Molecule: non-coding RNA, 69 nt
Organism: Chanos chanos (milkfish)
Lineage: Eukaryota; Metazoa; Chordata; Actinopteri; Gonorynchiformes; Chanidae
Source: the annotation of a RefSeq genome assembly
AGGGAGCUAGUCUAAGAAAGACCUUUGAUUUCGGCUCAAAAAAUUACGGUUAAAGUCCGUAGCCCCCUU